AUGACUUUCUAGAGUAUCUAAUUGAGGUGCUUAUCAUAUUUAAUAUGUGGCUAGAUCAGAUUAGUUAUCCUUGUCACUAUUAUUAUUUCAUAUAUCUUUUAUGUGACACUUAUCCCUGUAUGAUGAGUUAGAUAUAAUGUUCUCAAUUAUACAUGCAAUGAUAGAUGCUCAAUCUCAUAUUCUAUUCUGUAAUCAAUUGUGAUGAUUUCUAAUCCCUUCCCAGUGGUAAAAAUAUAAAUAACGAUACCUGGAAUACUUCUCGGUUAAAAUGCUGCAUCGGUAUUAAUCUGUGCGCUUGCAGAUCCCAUUCAUUAUUUAUUUAGAAGAGCAAUUGCAUAUUUCAAUACCGCGUCUCUUAUAUCAUGCUGGGGAUGACAACUUGGCUUAAGUGGUGUGAGGGAUAGGUUUGGCAUUUUUGGCACCGUUACUAGAUUUAGAGAACUUAGUUUACUUUUGGUAAUGAUGUUAAGAAUACCCAACACUUACCAGCAAGGGAAAGCAUACCUAGAAGAUGUAGAACCACGAUGGUAGGAAUGCAAACCUUUGCUAUCAAGAAGAAUCUGUGGAGCUUGGAAGGCACACAAAGAGACAAAUAUAUAUAUAUAUGGAACACAAAUCAGAAAUAGAUAGUAAUACUAAAUUAUAGUCCCUAGUGUUUACUCGUAUUGCCAGCCUUAUAUGUUCCAAGUACCAGGUGUGUGAUGAUCAACAAGGUGGAGAAACAAGUAUGAUGGAUAGCAAGAGCAAUAGAAACAAGGCACAAAACAACACACACUAACACAACUCACUUUGCUCUUCUCUAUGUGCUCCUCUAGAUAUUAUUCCUAUAUUGCUCCUCUCUUUUUUUCUUUUUUUGGCCACUGUUGUUUCUUUAUGAAAUUUUGAAUUUUUAUUUUUAUUUUUUUGAUAUUUUUAUUUUACUUAGGAGCACUAAGGAAGUAAACACAAAAAAUUUGAACUUAAACAAGUGAAAAACGUGGCCUCUGGAAUUUUCUGAAGAUUAUGAAAAAUAUGAAAAAAAAUCAGAAGGUGAAAAGUCAAACUUCAGAGACAAAUUUGGGGAAUCUAAAAUUAUCGAAGCCACCUAAAGCAGGAAUAGACGGAUCCAAAAAACUUUAUGAUCAAUUUUGAUAUAUGGAACAUCAAAAUCAGAGUUUGUGUGCGAAUGUUAUGGCUAUUUUACGAACGGACUCUGAAUUAGAGGACAAAACAGUCUGGAAGUGGGAAAAAUUUGCAGCGGUGGCUAGAAAUUGAUAGAGACGGUGAGGAAAAACACAAGAACUGGACUCUAACAUGACCUAACCACCAACAAGACCUCGACCAGGACACAAACUCCACAUACGGGCUCUAAAACUAAAAUAUGCAAAGGCUAUGGUACGGAAGGGUUGUAGGACAGGAAAAUGAUAUGGUACUGGACUUAUGGGACGAACACGAAAACACUUGAAACAAAGGGUAGAUGUGAAUCUGCUAGUAUACCUGAAACUUUGGUUACCACUUGAUGUGAACAAGGGUGACCCAACUGUGGGGGUAUAAACCCUUAUACCCUUAUGGCU
Molecule: long non-coding RNA, 1553 nt
Filed under: Sorghum bicolor (sorghum)
Lineage: Eukaryota; Viridiplantae; Streptophyta; Magnoliopsida; Poales; Poaceae
Description: long non-coding RNA (SBIC_LNC017384)
Source: RNAcentral